This is a long non-coding RNA of Mauremys reevesii (Reeves's turtle), 714 nucleotides long. RefSeq lists it as uncharacterized. The transcript has 3 exons. The record is from RefSeq and is a predicted model, not a curated record. NCBI's taxonomy places the organism in Eukaryota, Metazoa, Chordata, Testudines, Geoemydidae.
UACACCACCCCCAAGAGGAGGCAGCAACUCGCCCGUCGACGUGAGGGCAGCGAGAGGGCAGCGGCGACAGCGCAGGUUACUGGGCAUGCUCAGUUCGGGUGCGCAUGCUCAGUGCAGCCCAAGUAGCGACCCUGGAGCGAUCAUCCCAUCCCCUUGAGAGACGGGGAAGGGAAAUGGCUGCAGCGGAGCUGGUGACCUUCAAGGAGGUGGCUGUGUAUUUCACUGAGGAGGAAUGGGCUCUGCUGGACCCAGGUCAGAGAUCCCUCUACAGGGACGUCAUGUGGGAGAAUUAGGAGACUGUGACCUCACUGGAUGGAAGCUCCCUUUGUACCAAAGUGCAAAGACCCUGGCGACACGAGUAACUUUGACAACUAUGAGGAGGAGGAGAUCCGGGUCUCAACCACUGAGGAGUACGCCAUGGAGUUUUCUGAGUUCUAGGACCAGCGGCCCCCCCAAGAAGGGUGCAUGCGGAGUGGGGGGGAGUUGGAUUUUGGUUUCAUAGAUAAAUUAAAUCUAUAUAGCCCUGUGGCUAGGUCUCCCCCCCCCCCAAAUCCCCCCUUUCCACAAAGAAGCUUGAGAGUCCCAUCUAGAGGGUGAGGAUAUCAUCCACCCCGCCCUGGGAAACACGUCUGUGUCCUCCAACAACACUUGUUUCACUGGAAAAAAACAAAAGAACCCCCCACCCCCACUUCCUACUUAACAGUGUGCUUUGUU